ACUCCUACGGGAGGCAGCAGUGGGAAUAUUGCACAAUGGGGAAACCCGUAGCAUGCAGCCAUGCCGCGUGUGUGAAGAAGGCCUUCGGGUUGUAAAGCACUUUCAGUCGUGAGGAAAGGGUUGUAGUUAAUACCUGCAAUCUGUGACGUUAGCGACAGAAGAAGCACCGGCUAACUCCGUGCCAGCAGCCGCGGUAAUACGGAGGGUGCGAGCGUUAAUCGGAAUUACUGGGCGUAAAGCGUGCGUAGGCGGAUGAUUAAGCGAGAUGUGAAAUCCCGGGCUCAAGCCUCA
This 291-nucleotide ribosomal RNA is filed under the name uncultured bacterium. Its description in RNAcentral is "partial 16S ribosomal RNA". It matches the Rfam family "Bacterial small subunit ribosomal RNA", at positions 335 to 617 of the family's 1533-position model. The record is from RNAcentral.